This 1232-nucleotide long non-coding RNA is filed under the name Cricetulus griseus (Chinese hamster). Its description in RNAcentral is "lncRNA (ENSCGRG00015029293.1)". Lineage: Eukaryota; Metazoa; Chordata; Mammalia; Rodentia; Cricetidae. The record is from RNAcentral.
CUCGGGUUGUGGUGUCUCUGGGCUUUUGAGUCAUAGUUCAUAAUGGAGGCCGCCUGGCCUGGUGCGAGCUAGCCCGCCCGAACGGGAUACCGGAAGUUCACAGAGCGGCGCCCGGAAGUGGUCAGUCCGUCAAGUUACUAGUCGGGCAAACCCGGUCGUAGUCCCCAGAAAACUUAGAGAAGCGGGUGUGUGGAUGCGUAGCUGGUCCAGCCGCGAGAGCCUGGGGUUGCAUGGAGAGCCCGCGACCCUCGCACUGUGCCCCCCAGUCCACUCUAAGGUGUCGAUGCUAGUAUAAUUCUCGCUACAGAGAAGGAUUUUUGCACGUAACAACCUUAGCUGCCCUGGAACUUGCUUUCUACACUAUGUUGGCCUCAAACAUACAGAGCUCCAUCUGCCUCUGCCUCCCUAGUACUGGGAUUAAAGAGCUGGAGAGCUGCUCUACUGUUGGAUCUGGAAAGCCAGAAGAAACAUCCCAUAUUUUACUGGAAGGUAAAUUCUGGCGGGCUAUACAUAGCAGUUUCUCCCAGAGAAACUAGAAAAAGCCAGGUGUGGUGCAGACUGAGGAAGAGGAUCAAGGCCAGCCUGGGCUGAAUAGCUCAUCUCAAAAGAUUUAAAGCUACCAUUUUUUGUUUGUUUUUGAGACAGGAUUUCUCUGUAGGUUUGGAGACUGUCCUGGAACUCUCUUUGAAAACCAGGCUGGGCUUGAAUUCACAGAGAUCUGCCUGCCUCUGCCUCCCGAGUGCUGCGAUUAAAGGCGUGCACCAUCACUACCCGGCUCACAGUAGUAUAUGGAGAAGCACUUCCUGUAGUGUGACCAUAAACUGAUGUAUGUUUUUUAAUUAAACCUAACAGUUCUCCAUGUCUUUUAUACCUUCAGCUCCCACCCCACCCUCAAAUGGACACAUUGUACGUUCACAGUUUAUAGAGGGAUAUUUAGGACUUAAAAGGAAUAUGAAAAACUAGGCACAUAAUUUGAAAGGAAACAUGAGUUCCAAUUUCUUAAAGAAUAUGAACAAAGGAAGCAUACUGUGCUUGGAAAAAUACAAAUUUCCUGCAAGUAAAAUUGUGGAAUAUACUUCUUUUUUUUUUUUUUUUUUUUUUUUUUUUUUUUUUUUUUUUUUUUUUGGGUUUUUUGAAACAGGGUUCUCUGUGUAGCUUUGGAACCUAUCCUGGCACUCGCUUUGGAGACCAGGCUGGCCCUGAACUCACAGAGAUCCUCCUGCCUCUGCAUC